RNAcentral lists this ribosomal RNA (487 nucleotides) under uncultured bacterium. RNAcentral describes it as "bacterial SSU rRNA". It matches the Rfam family "Bacterial small subunit ribosomal RNA", at positions 28 to 516 of the family's 1533-position model. The record is from RNAcentral.
GAUGAACGCUAGCGGCAGGCUUAAUACAUGCAAGUCGUGGGGCAGCAGGGGUAGCAAUACCCGCUGGCGACCGGCAAACGGGUGCGUAACACGUACGCAACUUUCCUUUAAGCGGGGAAUAGCCCGGAGAAAUCCGGAUUAAUACCCCAUAUUAUAUUAAAAUGGCAUCAUUUAAAUAUUAAAGCUUCGGCACUUAAAGAUGGGCGUGCGGCUGAUUAGGUAGUUGGCGGGGUAACGGCCCACCAAGCCUACGAUCAGUAGCUGAUGUGAGAGCAUGAUCAGCCACACGGGCACUGAGACACGGGCCCGAUCCUAGGGAGGCAGGCAGUAAGGAUAUUGGUCAAUGGACGAAAGUCUGAACCNGCCAUGCCGCGUGAGAUGAAGGUCCUCUGGAUUGUAAACUUCUUUUANCUGGGGAACAAAAAGGGAUUCUUUCUCACUUGACGGUACCAGAUGAAUAGCACCGGCUAACUCCGUGCCAGCCGCC